CCACCUCACACCUCAGGGUGAUGGUCUCUCCAUUGUACAGUGGGCGCCAUUUUGGCUUCAUGAUCAGAGUGGCAUUAGGCAGGGCUACAGUCAGAUUGAUGGAGUCGCUGUGCUGUGAUGUCACAUUUCUCCCCUCCAGCCUCCCCUCACACCAGUACUGCCCCUGGUCAGACCCAGCAGCACCAGGGAUGGUGAGUCUGUUACCAGUUACACUGUGACCAGCAGUCUGAGACACAGCCAUCUGGGCCUGGUCU
Anguilla anguilla (European eel) is the source of this 254-nucleotide long non-coding RNA. RefSeq lists it as uncharacterized. The transcript is spliced from 3 exons. The record is from RefSeq and is a predicted model, not a curated record. NCBI's taxonomy places the organism in Eukaryota, Metazoa, Chordata, Actinopteri, Anguilliformes, Anguillidae.